RNAcentral lists this unclassified non-coding RNA (217 nucleotides) under Glomus sp. Its description in RNAcentral is "partial contains 5.8S ribosomal RNA and internal transcribed spacer 2". The stretch from base 1 to 71 matches the Rfam family "5.8S ribosomal RNA", at positions 84 to 154 of the family's 154-position model. The record is from RNAcentral. Lineage: Eukaryota; Fungi; Glomeromycota; Glomeromycetes; Glomerales; Glomeraceae.
GUGAAUCAUCAAAUCUUUGAACGCAAAUUGCACUUUCUGGUAUUCCGGUGAGUAUGCCUGUUUGAGGGUCAGUUAAAUAAUAAUCGGUGUUAUUGCUAUUAAUGGUGUUGCAUCGGAAUUGAGUCGUCUUUACCUUUGGAUUUAAGUUACUUAAAAUUUGGUACGAUUUCUGAUCGUAUUUAAAUUGUUGACUUACUCUCAUGAGAUCACAUAGUAU